GCCUUCGUGGUGUAGUGGUCAGCACGCUGGGCGCGUAUUCCAGAUGUCCGUGGUUCGAGUCCCGGCGAAGGCG
This 73-nucleotide transfer RNA is filed under the name Stegodyphus mimosarum. It matches the Rfam family "tRNA". Rfam says of the family: Transfer RNA (tRNA) molecules are approximately 80 nucleotides in length. Their secondary structure includes four short double-helical elements and three loops (D, anti-codon, and T loops). The record is from Rfam by way of RNAcentral. Lineage: Eukaryota; Metazoa; Arthropoda; Arachnida; Araneae; Eresidae.